UAAGAAGGAGAACAUACCAUAUGCUUAUGAGUACAAUUACAUUCAGAUUUAUUUUCUGAACUACAUGUUGGUAGAUGAUAUGAGGGCAGUGAACUAAUUGACCAUGCGGCGCUACCUUCGUGGGUUCAAAGUAGAUACAAAAUUAAGGGGGAAAUCAUAACAAAGAGUGAAUUCGGAA
Molecule: long non-coding RNA, 178 nt
Organism: Lolium rigidum
Lineage: Eukaryota; Viridiplantae; Streptophyta; Magnoliopsida; Poales; Poaceae
Exons: 3
Source: RefSeq, a predicted model, not a curated record